RNAcentral lists this transfer RNA (73 nucleotides) under Lebiasina multimaculata. Its description in RNAcentral is "tRNA-Leu(CUN)". It matches the Rfam family "tRNA". From Rfam's summary of the family: Transfer RNA (tRNA) molecules are approximately 80 nucleotides in length. Their secondary structure includes four short double-helical elements and three loops (D, anti-codon, and T loops). The record is from RNAcentral. Lineage: Eukaryota; Metazoa; Chordata; Actinopteri; Characiformes; Lebiasinidae. RNAcentral also lists the same sequence under 1 other name.
AUUUUUGAAGGAUAAUAGCUCAUCCAUUGGUCUUAGGAACCAAAAACUCUUGGUGCAAAUCCAAGCAAAAAUA